Long non-coding RNA from Oncorhynchus gorbuscha (pink salmon), 4418 nucleotides. RefSeq lists it as uncharacterized. The record is from RefSeq and is a predicted model, not a curated record. NCBI's taxonomy places the organism in Eukaryota, Metazoa, Chordata, Actinopteri, Salmoniformes, Salmonidae. The transcript is spliced from 3 exons.
AGGCCUCAUCUUUUUAAGUGGGAGAACUUGCACAAUUGGAGGCUGACUAAAUACUUGUUGCCCAACUGUAUGUGCGUGUGUGAAGCCUGCAUUCAAUUGCCCUCCCCCCGAUACUUUAUUUGGCACUUACUAUAGUAAUUUCUUUAUUUAACCUCUUGAUGGGAAAACGUUUUUAUUUUAAUAAGUUGAACAUGUGCUUUUUAUGACAAAAUGUUAAAAUUAGGUGACAAUUUUUUGGGGGACCAAGUUACUUCUCAAAAGGCACUGUAUUGGUGGAACAACACAUCUCUCAUACGAAGCUAUUAUAGGGACAUUCUCCUGUCGACAUUUCGGAACAAACACAACGCUAACAAAUCUGAGCAGAAAAGGCAUUUCGGGGAUUUGUAUUUUUUAAAUACCAGAGACCUGACCAAACUGCUUUCACAUUUUCAUACCUUGAAAAACAGGUAGUAAAAAUGGAAGGUAUGGCUUUAAAAAGGUCCACCUAAUUUCCUCAGGAAAGGCGGCAGACCUUUCAGAUAGUCAGGUGGUGAAGCAGGAGCAGCACUAACCUACAGGCGCAAAGUAGUAGACCAAGGUUUUUUUUUUCACUUAAGUCUGACAAAUCCUUCUUUGGUCUGAUUCCCUUUUAUUAUUUACAGGAAUAGAACAGAGGCAAAUGCAGCAUCUCUGAAAGUGGUGGUGCAGAGCCUCAUGGCUUUCAACGUUCUUCUCUUGAGAUAUAGUCUGACUGUCCACGGAGGUGGUCAGCCCUGGGCCGUGCAGUGAGUAGUCCCUCUGUUUGGCCAUGGGGCAGGGCGGGACGGGGCACCUGGCGGGACAACUGCUCUCUGCUACCUUAGCAAUGAGUGGCCUCCAUGGGGGAGAGCGUCAAGAUGCUCCGGUCGUUGGAAUAGAAGGGGUCCGAGUUGCUCCUCGAUCUAAAAGCAUCAACGACAGAGGAGUGAGGAGUGGUGGUGGGAGAGGACUAAGCUGAACCUGCCUCGAGUGCUUCUGUCUGUCUCUGACAUGCCUAAAGAUCCUUCAUUUACUGUUGGAUGGAUGGCCAACAAGCCAUUACAUGGUACAGUAAGGGGAUGUCAUGGCACAGGAGUGGUUGACCUUAUCUGUAUUGAUAUGAGGAGGCCCUGCCUUGGAUCUGAAGCCCUGUCAUCCUGCUCAUCUUCCACUGCCUCCCAACCCUGUCUCCUACACUACACUUCAACCUACAGAGGGAGCAGCACAAGCAAACAAAGUCAAACCAAAAAGAGGAGAGGAUAAGCAAACUCUUCAUUUUCCUGAGUAAGCACUCAUUGCGCAGAGCACUGCUGCAGAGGCAGACCUGAACACAUCCCAAGACUAUCGACACUGGUUUGAGGUUACAACGCUCAAUUCCCCCCUCUCCCCACCACUCAGAAACUACUGCAUAUUUGCAACAGCAGCAGAAACAGUGGGCAGAAUGCUGUAGUAUCCAGACAGACAGGAGAACGAACGGGGACGACAUCGAGAGGACAGUUAAACAAACGUGCCAGCAUUCUCCCACCACCCAGGGUGAUCAUGCCCUGAUAGGAUCCCAGCUAAAGUCUCUAGGAGGGAUGGCUCUGGUUAAUGUGUGUGGGGGGGGGCUAUAUGGGGAUGGGUGGACAAUGGUAGUUCAGGAGAGGACCUACACACACAGACGCCUGGCUGGGCCAGGGAAGGAGUAGGACUACUACCUAGGGGAGCAUAGGGCUGGGCCUUGGGCGGGGGGAGGAGAAGCAGCUAGCAGUUGCCAAUUGUCCUCCCCUCGGCUCCAGCUUUCAGCAGAGUCAUAUUCUGAGCUGACUGAACUCUUAUCCUCUUCCAUCUGGAAGCACAAAACAACCCAUUAAGUUUCCCGGACAGAAGGAAACAGGAGAGAACAAGAUGAAUGAGCACAAAAACUACUCCCACACCCAUUAGAGGUACGAGGAUGGCCAUAUAGCAGUUACUGAUCAAUGUGUGUCCAAAACCAUGUGUACACACAUCUUAAUUAGGAGACUGGGCACAAAGAUGUUCCAAAGAACCAAUGAGCCAGUUUAUUCAUUUCAGUGUACUUUCAAUUAUGUAAAUUGAUCAACUAUCUGGAUGACUGAGGAAUUAAUUUAGAAUUUGGAUGAUCAAUUAUUCCGUAAACAAGUCAAUCCAAUUAGGAAAUUGAUCACUUGCUUUUGGAUGGUGUGGUCAUCAUUUUCUCUGCUCAUUGUACAUAUCUUAAGAAACGAAUGCUACUGUUUGAGAGCAUGCUGUCCAGAAUAUGAUCUUGAGAUAGUGAAUAAACUCCUAUGGAAAUAGCAUUCACCAGCCAGAAGCUUUGAAGUUCUUGCUAACUAUAAUUUUGUGCCUCAGAGUUACUGUAUUAGCAGCAGCACACAAACAGACUCAAGCUGUGCUCCACAUGCCGUUAUGGCUGGAGCUUUAUAUUAGGGGCUGCUCUGCCCAAUGCAGAGAGCACUGGUCCUUCUAUGCUAACCUGAAGUGGCGCACAUUUGAUAGAGGCUUUCCUAGGGCCAACAUGCAGGGGUGCAUAACAGGGGUGCAUAACAAAGUGCCUUAGACGUAUCAUUUCCUCUCUUUUUUACCCCCAUUUCCUUUUCCCUAGAAUGCUGGUUAGUUAGUUUGUCCUCUGCAUGCAGACAAGACUUAUUAGGCAGCACAGCCCUCCUACUCUACCUAAUUUUGCCCAGCUGAUUCUUGGCUCUGGAGAGAGGCUGCAGAGCGAUGAAGUCGUCACUUAUAGCGACUCGGUUGGAGUACAUCUACAGAGCAGAGGGAAGGGCGGAACACACAGACAGUCAGUUAGGAGGGAAGAAGACAAAACAUACACAUGUGCGUGCACACACACACGAGGACAUCAGCCAGAGAAAGGAAGAAAGGUGCCUUUAUCAAAGAGACAGGACAUGAGACUCAAGCCUGAGAAAGAAAGAGCUUUUAUCUUCUAAGAACCACCUAGCAGGACUUUACAGAGUGGGGAUGCUAGAAUUUUUGACUGAACAACUAUUUGAUGCAAAAAAGGCCAAUACGUAUAAACAAACAAAAAAACAGGGCAUAACAAUGUCAACCUUUUAAGCAAAGAGGAAAUUGUGACCACAAAAACAGAACAGUUGAAAAGUCUGUUUGAGGAGGCUGUUUAAAAACAAAAACAACUGUGUUCAUGUUGAGUAACAUGCUCCUACCAUCUGGCAUCUACAGUCUAGCUCUCCCACCUAGCAGACACACAGACACGCUACAGUAGGUUUAGAGCUGGAACAGAGAACCUGUUGUUUUGAGCGUGCCUUUGUCAGUUGCACAGUGAAUUGUUGUUCUUGUGUUGUCUGUGAGGUGAAAAGCCAUGCUGUGGUGCGAGUGUCAUGCGUUUCCUGUCAGUGUAUAGUCUGUUACCACAAACGUUGCUGUGAGGGUGUCCUGUGGGUUAGCAACAAGCCGCCCACCCCUCCCCCUCUGUCCUACCUGAGACUUCUGGGUGCUGGUGGGCUGGAGGUGCCUGUAGAACACCUUCUUGAUGAUGUCAGGGAAAAGGCAGGUGAUGAUGAUGAUGAUGAUUGCGAACCAGGCAGAGCCGCUGGACAGCAACUGGACGAAGACAAAGUACAUGUCCUGGGUAUGGAGGAAAGGCCUGGAGGGUGGGCAAAGGUCACAGAGAAUCACACUGUUAGUCAGCCAACAUUUUUUAAGGCUCAACUAACCCUGUGAGUAAAGCCUGGAAUGGAACUUGAAGCUUUUUGACUGUCUGAGAUGACAAUGGAGAUAGUGAUGCUAGCCACUGUAAAACAGGUGAAAAUCUGAGUAGACUGUAUGCCACAUGCAGUUCAAUUACACUUGUUGGUCUUAUCACAUACUAUAUACUGGAGUGCCAUGUAUACUAGACAAACACAGGUUGUGUGGGAAAGAGAUGGCAGCUCAGCUCACCAGAUGAUUCCCCCAUAAAAAAGGGAGAAGAUGAAGUAGAAAGCGAUGGAGCCCCAGGUAACAAAGUGAUUCAUCCACGUCCAGAAGUGGGUCUCCAAGGCCAGCUGUUGACAGAGAGGAGAAACAACAUGUAGUUUGGUCAGAACAGCAUGUGAAACGCCAUAGGAGAGCAGAGAGGAGUGAGGUGCCAGUGACAACAAUAUCAAACAUAGAUAGAUUUCAUGUGGGAUUGCUUUCAGAUUUAUGAAUCAAACAAUUGCAAAAACUCAAAUAACAUGACUUACCUUCAGUGUAACAGUGAUGACCAUUACUGUGAAUACCAAAGUGCCAAAUGUCCAGUUUCCAAACAUCUACAAGACAAAUACAAUAAAACUUAAGAAUUUUCACAUAGAAAAUACAAUGACAUAACAUUAUCAUAGGAAUAAUACGUAGGGAUGUACACUGAGUAUACCUAACAGGAGCACCUUCUAAUAUUGAGUUGCCCCCCCCCUCCCCCUUUUGCCCUCAGAACA